RNAcentral lists this ribosomal RNA (379 nucleotides) under uncultured eukaryote. Its description in RNAcentral is "partial 18S ribosomal RNA". It matches the Rfam family "Eukaryotic small subunit ribosomal RNA", at positions 592 to 975 of the family's 1831-position model. The record is from RNAcentral.
CAAUAGCGUAUAUUAAAGUUGUUGCGGUUAAAAAGCUCGUAGUUGGAUUUCUGCCGAGGACGACCGGUCCGCCCUCUGGGUGAGUAUCUGGCUCGGCCUGGGCAUCUUCUUGGAGAACGUAGCUGCACUUGACUGUGUGGUGCGGUAUCCAGGACUUUUACUUUGAGGAAAUUAGAGUGUUUCAAGCAGGCUUACGCCUUGAAUACAUUAGCAUGGAAUAAUAAGAUAGGACCUCGGUUCUAUUUUGUUGGUUUCUAGAGCUGAGGUAAUGAUUAAUAGGGAUAGUUGGGGGCAUUCGUAUUUAACUGUCAGAGGUGAAAUUCUUGGAUUUAUGAAAGACGAACUUCUGCGAAAGCAUUUGCCAAGGAUGUUUNCAUUA